GUGGUCAAGCUAGAAAGGGCUUACGGUGGAUACCUUGGCACGCAGAGGCGAAGAAGGACGUGGCGACCGACGAAACGCUUCGGGGAGCUGGAAGCAAGCACCGAUCCGGAGAUGUCCGAAUGGGGCAACCCAAAAACUACCGGCUGAAUCAAUAGGCCGGUCAGAGCCAACCGGGCGAACUGAAACAUCUUAGUAGCCCGAGGAACAGAAAGAAAACUCGAUUCCCCAAGUAGCGGCGAGCGAAAAGGGAAAAGCCUAAACCAUCAACUUUCGAGUCGAUGGGGUCGUGGGACAGCACCACCCAGAGAGUAGAGACUAGACAAAGCAGUUGAAUGCUGCACCAGAGAAGGUGAAAGUCCUGUAGUCGAAAGUCAAAACCCUGGAGCUGUAUCCCGAGUAGCUUGGGGCCCGUGGAAUCCCAAGUGAAUCAGCGAGGACCACCUCGUAAGGCUAAAUACUCCUGCGUGACCGAUAGCGAACCAGUACCGCGAGGGAAAGGUGAAAAGAACCCCGGGAGGGGAGUGAAAUAGAACCUGAAACCGUAAGCUUACAAGCAGUGGAAGGACGAUUUAACGUCUGACCGCGUGCCUGUUGAAGAAUGAGCCGGCGACUUAUAGGCACUGGUAGGUUAAAGCGUCAAUAGCUGAAGCCAAAGCGAAAGCGAGUCUGAAUAGGGCGUUAAUCAGUGUUUAUAGACCCGAACCCGGGUGAUCUAACCAUGUCCAGGAUGAAGCUUGGGUAACACCAAGUGGAGGUCCGAACCGACUGAUGUUGAAAAAUCAGCGGAUGAGGUGUGGUUAGGGGUGAAAUGCCAAUCGAACCCGGAGCUAGCUGGUUCUCCCCGAAAUAUGUUGAGGCAUAGCGGUUGUGAAUAUAACCGGGGGGUAAAGCACUGAUUCGGUGCGGGCUGCGAGAGCGGUACCAAAUCGAGUCAAACUCAGAAUACCCGGCGAACACACAGCCAGUCAGACGGUGGGGGAUAAGCUUCAUCGUCGAAAGGGAAACAGCCCAGACCACCAGCUAAGGUCCCCAAAUGACGACUCAGUGAUAAAGGAGGUGGGAGUGCACAGACAACCAGGAGGUUUGCCUAGAAGCAGCCAUCCUUAAAAGAGUGCGUAAUAGCUCACUGGUCAAGCGCUCCUGCGCCGAAAAUGAACGGGGCUAAGUCGUCUACCGAAGCUGUGGACUUGUAAUACAAGUGGUAGGGGAGCGUUCUGCGUUAGGGAGAAGCACUAGCGGUAAGCAGGUGUGGACGAAGCAGAAGUGAGAAUGUCGGCUUGAGUAGCGAAAAUAUUGGUGAGAAUCCAAUACCCCGAAACCCUAAGGGUUCCUCCGGCAGGCUCGUCCGCGGAGGGUUAGUCAGGACCUAAGGCGAGGCCGAAAGGCGUAGUCGAUGGACAACGGGUCAACAAUCCCGUACCUAUUUGGGUUGGUGCAGAGGGACGGAGAAGGGUGACAGCAGCCGGAGGAUGGUUACCGGCGCAAAAUCGUCAGACGUUGAAGGAAGGCGAAAACUUCCCGAGUUGAGCGAUUGAGUCCGACCCGCUACGGCGGGGAAGUGCUGAAGCUCAGGCUUCCAAGAAAAGCUCUAAACACCAUAAACCCAAACAGCCUGUACCCGAAACCGACACAGGUAGGGGAGUAGAGAAUACUAAGGGGCGCGAGAUAACUCUCUCUAAGGAACUCGGCAAAAUGGCCCCGUAACUUCGGGAGAAGGGGUGCCCACGGCAACGUGGGUCGCAGUGAAGAGGCCCAGGCGACUGUUUACCAAAAACACAGGUCUCCGCCAAGUCGCAAGACGAAGUAUGGGGGCUGACGCCUGCCCAGUGCCGGAAGGUUAAGGAAGUCGGUCAGCACUUCGGUGUGAAGCUGGCGACUGAAGCCCCGGUGAACGGCGGCCGUAACUAUAACGGUCCUAAGGUAGCGAAAUUCCUUGUCGGGUAAGUUCCGACCCGCACGAAAGGCGUAACGAUCUGGGCGCUGUCUCGGAGAGAGGCUCGGCGAAAUAGGAAUGUCUGUGAAGAUACGGACUGCCUGCACCUGGACAGAAAGACCCUAUGAAGCUUUACUGUAGCCUGGAAUUGGGUUCGGGCCUCGUUUGCGCAGGAUAGGUGGGAGGCAUUGAAGAGUUCCUUGUGGGGAACUUGGAGCCAACGGUGAGAUACCACUCUAACGAGGCUAGAAUUCUAACCCUUAUCCGUCAACCGGAAAGGGAACCGUUUCAGGUGGGCAGUUUGACUGGGGCGGUCGCCUCCUAAAAGGUAACGGAGGCGCGCAAAGGUUCCCUCAGGCUGGACGGAAAUCAGCCGACGAGUGCAAAGGCAGAAGGGAGCUUGACUGCGAGAGCUACAACUCAAGCAGGGUGGAAACACGGCCUUAGUGAUCCGACGGCACUGUGUGGAAGGGCCGUCGCUCAACGGAUAAAAGUUACUCUAGGGAUAACAGGCUGAUCUCCCCCAAGAGUUCACAUCGACGGGGAGGUUUGGCACCUCGAUGUCGGCUCAUCGCAACCUGGUGCGGAAGUACGUGCCAAGGGUUGGGCUGUUCGCCCAUUAAAGCGGUACGUGAGCUGGGUUCAGAACGUCGUGAGACAGUUCGGUCCAUAUCCGGUGCAGGCGUAAGAGCAUUGAGAGGAGCCUUCCCUAGUACGAGAGGACCGGGAAGGACGCACCGCUGGUGUACCUGUUAUCGUGCCAACGGUAAACGCAGGGUAGCCAUGUGCGGAGCGGAUAACCGCUGAAAGCAUCUAAGUGGGAAGCCCACCUCAAGAUGAGUGCUCUCAUGGCGUUAAGCCAGUAAGGUCACGGAAAGAACAUCCGUUUGCUAGGCGUUAGGUGGAAGUACAGCAAUGUAUGCAGCCAAGACGUACUAAUAGACCGAGGGCUUGACCUCA
This 2893-nucleotide ribosomal RNA is filed under the name Desertifilum tharense IPPAS B-1220. Its description in RNAcentral is "bacterial LSU rRNA". It matches the Rfam family "Bacterial large subunit ribosomal RNA". Lineage: Bacteria; Bacillati; Cyanobacteriota; Cyanophyceae; Desertifilales; Desertifilaceae. RNAcentral also lists the same sequence under 3 other names. The record is from RNAcentral.